AUUGAACGCUGGCGGCAGGCCUAACACAUGCAAGUCGAGCGGUAGAGAGAAGCUUGCUUCUCUUGAGAGCGGCGGACGGGUGAGUAAUGCCUAGGAAUCUGCCUGGUAGUGGGGGAUAACGUUCGGAAACGGACGCUAAUACCGCAUACGUCCUACGGGAGAAAGCAGGGGACCUUCGGGCCUUGCGCUAUCAGAUGAGCCUAGGUCGGAUUAGCUAGUUGGUGAGGUAAUGGCUCACCAAGGCGACGAUCCGUAACUGGUCUGAGAGGAUGAUCAGUCACACUGGAACUGAGACACGGUCCAGACUCCUACGGGAGGCAGCAGUGGGGAAUAUUGGACAAUGGGCGAAAGCCUGAUCCAGCCAUGCCGCGUGUGUGAAGAAGGCCUUCGGAUUGUAAAGCACUUUAAGUUGGGAGGAAGGGCAUUAACCUAAUACGUUAGUGUUUUGACGUUACCGACAGAAUAAGCACCGGCUAACUCUGUGC
RNAcentral lists this ribosomal RNA (485 nucleotides) under uncultured bacterium. RNAcentral's name for it is "bacterial SSU rRNA". It matches the Rfam family "Bacterial small subunit ribosomal RNA", at positions 30 to 508 of the family's 1533-position model. The record is from RNAcentral.